GACGAACGCUGGCGGCGUGCUUAACACAUGCAAGUCGAACGGAAAGGCCCUGCUUUUGUGGGGUGCUCGAGUGGCGAACGGGUGAGUAACACGUGAGUAUCCUGCCCUUGACUUUGGGAUAACUUCAGGAAACUGGGGCUAAUACCGGAUAGGAGCUCCUGCUGCAUGUUGGGGGUUGGAAAGUUUCGGCGGUUGGGGAUGGACUCGCGGCUUAUCAGCUUGUUGGUGGGGUAGUGGCUUACCAAGGCUUUGACGGGUAGCCGGCCUGAGAGGGUGACCGGCCACAUUGGGACUGAGAUACGGCCCAGACUCCUACGGGAGGCAGCAGGGGGGAAUAUUGCACAAUGGGCGGAAGCCUGAUGCAGCAACGCCGCGUGCGGGAUGACGGCCUUCGGGUUGUAAACCGCUUUCGCCGGUGACGAAGCGUGAGUGACGGUAAUGGGUAAAGAAGCACCGGCUAACUACGUG
Molecule: ribosomal RNA, 468 nt
Filed under: uncultured bacterium
Lineage: Bacteria
Description: partial 16S ribosomal RNA
Rfam family: Bacterial small subunit ribosomal RNA
Source: RNAcentral